RNAcentral lists this small RNA (479 nucleotides) under Rattus norvegicus (Norway rat). Its description in RNAcentral is "uncharacterized LOC108352797". Lineage: Eukaryota; Metazoa; Chordata; Mammalia; Rodentia; Muridae. The record is from RNAcentral.
GCCUGAUAUACCAGCCCAAAGCUUCAGGAGAUAGUACCCACCUCCCCCACAUCAGCAGGAGAUGACUGCUCCAAUCAGCAAGUCACUUAUUUAGCUGUCAUUAAAAUAAGAAUUUCAAAGUCUGUGGUAGGUUACAGAAGGAGACCAGAAGAGGCAAAGAUUCGAUCUCAGCAUUAAAUUGUGAUGUCAAAGGAAGAUGUCUGAUACCCAGCCUUCUUAGCCCAUAGAUUCGUGCAGAUCACAGGAAAUCUGGCUUAAGUAUUUUUACAGCCAGUUAGGUAUAGUGGCCCACUCAGCAGGCUGAAGCUAGAAGGUUGUGACUUGAAACCAGCCAGAACCACACAGCUGUCUCUCAAAAAGAAAAGAGAAAAAUGGUGAAUAAAAGAAAAGACAAAAGAAGAACUUGGGCAGUAGAAUAUUAGCUGGGAGGGUAUAUUUAAGUUCAGUUUCAGUUCCUGAAUUAGAAAUAUAGCAACUGC